RNAcentral lists this ribosomal RNA (448 nucleotides) under uncultured bacterium. RNAcentral's name for it is "partial 16S ribosomal RNA". It matches the Rfam family "Bacterial small subunit ribosomal RNA", at positions 29 to 523 of the family's 1533-position model. The record is from RNAcentral.
AACGAACGCUGGCGGCAUGCCUAACACAUGCAAGUCGAACGAAGGCUUCGGCCUUAGUGGCGCACGGGUGAGUAACGCGUGGGAAACUGCCUAUUGGUGGGGAAUAACGACGGGAAACUGUCGCUAAUACCGCAUAAGCCCUUCGGGGGAAAGAUUUAUCGCCGAUAGAUGUGCCCGCGUCCGAUUAGCUAGUUGGUGAGGUAAUGGCUCACCAAGGCGACGAUCGGUAGCUGGUCUGAGAGGAUGAUCAGCCACACUGGGACUGAGACACGGCCCAGACUCCUACGGGAGGCAGCAGUGGGGAAUAUUGGACAAUGGGCGAAAGCCUGAUCAGCAAUGCCGCGUGAGUGAUGAAGGCCUUAGGGUUGUAAAGCUCUUUCGGGUGGGACGAUGAUGACGGUACCACCAGAAGAAGCCCCGGCUAACUUCGUGCCAGCAGCCGCCGCCG